CUCAGAUUGAACGCUGGCGGCAGGCCUAACACAUGCAAGUCGAGCGGUAGAGAGAAGCUUGCUUCUCUUGAGAGCGGCGGACGGGUGAGUAAUGCCUAGGAAUCUGCCUGGUAGUGGGGGAUAACGUUCGGAAACGGACGCUAAUACCGCAUACGUCCUACGGGAGAAAGCAGGGGACCUUCGGGCCUUGCGCUAUCAGAUGAGCCUAGGUCGGAUUAGCUAGUUGGUGGGGUAAUGGCUCACCAAGGCGACGAUCCGUAACUGGUCUGAGAGGAUGAUCAGUCACACUGGAACUGAGACACGGUCCAGACUCCUACGGGAGGCAGCAGUGGGGAAUAUUGGACAAUGGGCGAAAGCCUGAUCCAGCCAUGCCGCGUGUGUGAAGAAGGUCUUCGGAUUGUAAAGCACUUUAAGUUGGGAGGAAGGGCAGUUACCUAAUACGUAUCUGUUUUGACGUACCGACAGA
This 466-nucleotide ribosomal RNA is filed under the name Pseudomonas sp. CAS912i. Its description in RNAcentral is "bacterial SSU rRNA". It matches the Rfam family "Bacterial small subunit ribosomal RNA", at positions 23 to 485 of the family's 1533-position model. The record is from RNAcentral. Lineage: Bacteria; Pseudomonadati; Pseudomonadota; Gammaproteobacteria; Pseudomonadales; Pseudomonadaceae.